CCAGCGGCCGCGUAGAUGCAGACGUGGGCCGCAACCCACGCGGGGCGGGGCGGGGAUACGGCCGGCGGCCCGAAGACCCAGCAGCCCAAAACAAAUUCACCAACGGGUCAGUGUGGACCCCGUGGUCCUGAGAUGAUCAGAGGACUCCGGGAUCCGCCCCACCACCACCAUGAGACUCAAGUCGGCAGACGUGGGCCCUUCCCUCUGUGCACCUGGUGGCCCGCGGGGGUGACACAUGGGGCCAUCAGCUGGUGACAAAGGUGAGAGGAACUCACAGGGAGAGAAGGGAAGGCCAGGAGGGGGUCAGAGGGCCCAAGACAGCAGCAAAGAGGGUGGGGGCAGAUGCCUGAAGGAAGGGCUGCCCCAGGGUGGUGAUUCCAGGCCUGUGGGAGAAUAGCUCAGAGGAGGCCUGGAGUGGAGUGGAGAGGCCCACAGAGGGAUCUGAGGGCUGCCCAGAGCCUAAGCAGCUGAAGUGCUUAGGGUCCUUGAAACCGAACACUGCUCUACCUGCCUCAGUUCCCCACCAGCAUCCAGACCCCAGAGGACACAGGAAGCUCAAGUUUGCGGACCAGCCUGGUUUCCCCCACAUCUCCAGUGGCUGCCUAUGGCAGCCCGUUUCCACGUCACCCUCCACUGCGUCCGGUGUGCCCACUUGUGUGGCACCCCCACCCUCCCAGGGGACACUGGGGUUGCUGUGGACAUGGAGAGAGCAUCCAGGUCCUCUGUGUAAAAAUAAGCCCCCCCCCCAGGAGGGGGCGGCUGUGACGGUGCAGGCUGCGGUGACAGGGACUCGCCCGCACCCGCAGGAGCAUCCGGCCGUGCGCCCGGGUGCCGUGGCGACGCUGACUCAGAGGCAGGUAGCAGCAUCUGGCACCCAGUGGGUGCCCAGCCCCCACCUGCAGCCUCUCGGGGUGCACAGCUCACGAGUAGAGGGCACCCACACAUCUGCCCACUGCCUGUCCAGCCCAUCCGUGGCCCUAUCCGCCCUCAUGUCCAGGGCACCCCGUGCACAUGGGCACUCUUCCGGGCAGUGAGAAGGGCCUAAGCCCACUCAGGAUCAGCCUCAGGACGUGGAGGCCUGUGUCUCCACACCCGACCCGCAGCCCAUCCUAGACCCUGCCCUGCUGGCCCUGCAGCAGCUGCAGCUAUCCCUCAACUGCUCCCCCAUGCAGCCACCUCAAGCGCACCAGCAUGGCUACCACAGGACCUUUGCACACACCCCUGCCUGGGAAGCCCCUGGCUUGUCCCCAUUCCUGCUGCUUGUGUCUGCUCCCAGCUCCAGAGUAGAAGCCUAG
Molecule: long non-coding RNA, 1295 nt
Filed under: Heterocephalus glaber (naked mole-rat)
Lineage: Eukaryota; Metazoa; Chordata; Mammalia; Rodentia; Bathyergidae
Description: lncRNA (ENSHGLG00000040293.1)
Source: RNAcentral